This 73-nucleotide transfer RNA is filed under the name Myotis brandtii (Brandt's bat). It matches the Rfam family "tRNA". From Rfam's summary of the family: Transfer RNA (tRNA) molecules are approximately 80 nucleotides in length. Their secondary structure includes four short double-helical elements and three loops (D, anti-codon, and T loops). Lineage: Eukaryota; Metazoa; Chordata; Mammalia; Chiroptera; Vespertilionidae. The record is from Rfam by way of RNAcentral.
GCCGGUGUGGCUCAGUUGGUUGGGCAUUGUCCCGAGCACUAAAAGGUUGCCAGUUCGAUUCUGGUCAAGGGCA